AGGACGAACGCUGGCGGCGUGCUUAACACAUGCAAGUGGAGCGACGAACCAGGGCUUGCCCUGGGGCAGAGCCGCGAACGGGUGAGUAACACGUGGGUUACCUGCCUCGAUGACCGGGACAACCCGAGGAAACUCGGGCUAAUACCGGAUGUGCCCGCAAGGGGAAAGGAAGCUUCGGCCUCCGCAUUGAGAUGGGCCCGCGGCCCAUUAGCUUGUUGGUGAGGUAACGGCUCACCAAGGCUUCGAUGGGUAGCUGGUCUGAGAGGACGAUCAGCCACACUGGGACUGAGACACGGCCCAGACUCCUACGGGAGGCAGCAGUGGGGAAUCUUGCGCAAUGCGCGAAAGCGUGACGCAGCAACGCCGCGUGGGGGAAGAAGGCUUUCGGUUGUAAACCCUUUCAGUUGGGACGAAGCUUCUCCGGUGAAUAACCGGAUGGAGUGACGGUACCUUCACAAGAAGCACCGGCUAACUACGCGCCAGCAGCCGCGU
Molecule: ribosomal RNA, 492 nt
Filed under: uncultured bacterium
Lineage: Bacteria
Description: SSU rRNA
Rfam family: Bacterial small subunit ribosomal RNA
Source: RNAcentral